AGAGUUUGAUCCUGGCUCAGAAUCAACGCUGGCGGCGUGCCUCAGACAUGCAAGUCGAACGCGAAAUCUCCCUUCGGGGAGAAAGUAGAGUGGCGCACGGGUGAGUAACACGUAGGUAAUUUGCCUUCGGGUGGGGAAUAACAGCCGGAAACGGCUGCUAAUACCGCAUAAUGCAGCGGCUCGACAUCGAGACAGUUGUUAAAGCGGGGGAUUCGCAAGAACCUCGCGCCUGAAGAGAAGCCUGCGGCAGAUUAGCUAGUUGGUAGGGUAACGGCCUACCAAGGCGACGAUCUGUAGCCGGCCUGAGAGGGCGGUCGGCCACACUGACACUGACAUACGGGUCAGACUCCUACGGGAGGCAGCAGUCGGGAAUUUUGGGCAAUGGGCGAAAGCCUGACCCAGCAACGCCGCGUGAAGGAUGAAAUCCCUCGGGAUGUAAACUUCGCAAGAAUGGGAAGAAUAAGUAGAAGAUAAUACCUUCUAUGAUGACGGUACCAUUUGUAAGCUCCGGCUAACUCCGUGCCAGCAGCCGCGGUAAUACGGGGGGAGCAAGCGUUGUUCGGAUUUACUGGGCGUAAAGGGCGCGUAGGCGGCCAGCGCAAGUCAGUUGUGAAAUCUCCGGGCUUAACUCGGAACGGUCAACUGAUACUGCGCGGCUAGAGUGCAGAAGGGGCAACUGGAAUUCUCGGUGUAGCGGUGAAAUGCGUAGAUAUCGAGAGGAACACCUGCGGCGAAGGCGGGUUGCUGGGCUGACACUGACGCUGAGGCGCGAAAGCUAGGGGAGCGAACGGGAUUAGAUACCCCGGUAGUCC
Molecule: ribosomal RNA, 812 nt
Filed under: uncultured Acidobacteriota bacterium
Lineage: Bacteria; Pseudomonadati; Acidobacteriota
Description: bacterial SSU rRNA
Rfam family: Bacterial small subunit ribosomal RNA
Source: RNAcentral